UUCCGGUUGAUCCUGCCGGACCUGACUGCUAUCACCCCUUGAGUAGCUCCUGCGAGUUAACCUUUAAAUUCCUGGCGCACGACCGUACUACACGUACGGCACAUGUCCAGACUACCUGGAUAACCUGGGGAAACUGAAUCUCAACCCCUCUAAGAGACGAUUUCUGGAAUGGUUGCUGACUCACAUCUAUAUGGCCUCUGGAUUGCACUGCGCUCUAUCCCGCUGUUGGUGAGGUAAUGGCCCACCGCCCCCGUCACCGGUGCUGGCUCUGAUGGAGGAGCCCAUUUUACCCCUCUGACUGAGGGCCCUUGCCUAUCCUGCCUCCUAGCUCUGUAAACCUCUGCAAUAGGCCAUCUGCUGACCAGGUGGCUCUGAGUGACUAUUUGUAAAAACGUCUUUUGGUGCCUCUAAAAAGGGAAUCAAUAAGGGGUGGGCAAGUCUGGGUAUUACCGCCGCGGCUGAACCCACACUUGCACUGCCCUUAUUCAUUAUUGUUUUUAAAGGUGCCGUAAGACUUUCUGCAAGUCCCCCGUUAAAACCAACUGUGCAACGCAUGCGCCUAUUGCGAAACUAUCGAGCCUGCAGGCCCGCAAAGCGACUGGGACUCUGUGUCUAUGCGCAUCAUCCGUUGAUUCCUCUCAGACCACCGUACGGCUUACGCGGCUGGUGGAAUGCGCUCUCACCAACAGGGAUGAUCGCUGGCAGGAGCAAACCGGAGUAGAUAUAGAUUUAGCCAUGAACCAUUCGAUGCAUCACUGAGCUGAUGGGGUUUAUCCUCGCUUACCCCGAGGUUGUCCACGUCCUCUGAGUCUGCCGACUACGUGUUACUGUCGCAAGAC
Molecule: ribosomal RNA, 839 nt
Filed under: uncultured archaeon
Lineage: Archaea
Description: bacterial SSU rRNA
Source: RNAcentral